This 879-nucleotide ribosomal RNA is filed under the name uncultured archaeon. Its description in RNAcentral is "bacterial SSU rRNA". It matches the Rfam family "Archaeal small subunit ribosomal RNA", at positions 52 to 946 of the family's 1478-position model. The record is from RNAcentral.
UGUGAGUCGUUGCAGCAAUGCAAGGCAGACGGCUCAGUAACACGUAGUCAACCUAACCUAUGGACGGGGAUAACCUCGGGAAACUGAGAAUAAUACCCGAUAGAUCAUGAUACCUGGAACGGUUUAUGGUUCAAAUGAUUUAUCGCCAUAGGAUGGGACUGCGGUCUAUCAGCUUGUUGGUGAGGUAAUGGCCCACCAAGGCUAUAACAGAUACGGGCUCUGAGAGGAGGGGCCCGGAGAUGGGUACUGAGACACGGACCCAGGUCCUAUGGGGCGCAGCAGGCGAGAAACCUUUGCAAUGUGCGAAAGCACGACAAGGUUAAUCCGAGUGAUUCCUGCUAAAGGAAUCUUUUGUUAGUCAUAAAACCACUGAUGAAUAAGGGGUGGGCAAGUUCUGGUGUCAGCCGCCGCGGUAAUACCAGCACCUCGAGUGGUCAGGAGGUUUAUUGGGCCUAAAGCAUCCGUAGCCGGCUGUUCAAGUUUCCGGUUAAAUCCACACGCUUAACGUAUGGGCUGCCGGAAAUACUGUUCAGCUAGGGAGUGGGAGAGGUAGACGGUACUCGAUAGGAAGGGGUAAAAUCCUUUGAUCUAUUGAUGACCACCUGUGGCGAAGGCGGUCUACCAGAACACGUUCGACGGUGAGGGAUGAAAGCUGGGGGAGCAAACCGGAUUAGAUACCCGGGUAGUCCCAGCUGUAAACGAUGCAGACUCGGUGAUGCAUUGGCUUGUGGCCAGUGCAGUGCCGCAGGGAAGCCGUUAAGUUUGCCGCCUGGGAAGUACGUACGCAAGUAUGAAACUUAAAGGAAUUGGCGGGGGAGCACCACAAGGGGUGAAGCCUGCGGUUCAAUUGGAUUCAACGCCGGAAAGGGCGAAUUCCAG